RNAcentral lists this transfer RNA (77 nucleotides) under Alphaproteobacteria bacterium. RNAcentral describes it as "tRNA-Arg". It matches the Rfam family "tRNA". Rfam says of the family: Transfer RNA (tRNA) molecules are approximately 80 nucleotides in length. The record is from RNAcentral. Lineage: Bacteria; Pseudomonadati; Pseudomonadota; Alphaproteobacteria.
GUAUCCGUAGCUCAAUUGGAUAGAGUGUUGGCCUCCGACGCCAAAGGUUGCGAGUUCGAACCUCGCCGGGUGCACCA